Molecule: long non-coding RNA, 1906 nt
Organism: Arvicola amphibius (Eurasian water vole)
Lineage: Eukaryota; Metazoa; Chordata; Mammalia; Rodentia; Cricetidae
Exons: 3
Source: RefSeq, a predicted model, not a curated record
GCCACUAGCUGUAAAAAGGUUCGUAGUACAGACGACUUUAGUAUCAGCUUAAUACAUAGGUUAUUCUCUGACGACAGAGAACAGCGGCGGCCUAUGGACAUGGGGCCUCUUUGGGGCCGAAAGAGUGCCACCACCACGGUGCACUCGUUUGGGAAACACGCCCAAAAGCAAAGCUCACAUAAAGAUCUCUGAUGCACUCCAACAAAUCUAUAAAGUAUGCCAAAGCAGAGGAAAUUUUCAAGAAGACACUCCUUUAAUCACUGAUAAUACAACCAAAGCCUCUGUUCCGGGAAGCUCUAGCAGACGAUGACCCACUCUCCCGGAGAAAGCAGCCGUGCAAAGAGUGACGAUCCCCGAUCCCUCGGGAGCUCUCGCCGCCGCUUCAGCUCCGACUCCGCUAAUCGUCACAGGUCCCCGGGAUACAACGGUUCUUCCAAUGAUAAAAAGAAAUUGUAAAACAUGCCCAUGGCUCCUUAAAGACAACUUAAAAGGAUAAAAACAGGAGAAUUAAGAAUCACCACCUAAUGCCUUAAGUCAUGCACCCUUUAUGAAUGUCCAUGAACAAGCUGCUGCAGACAGAUUUUGGCAUGAUGGCACCAAGGCGACCUUUGCUAAGGAAGAAAAGAAAGCUGAAUGAGAAUGAGAUGACUGCAUAUACCACAGAGGAUGUGAGUCCUGAUGACUGCAGCCACUGAUGACUCCAUAGAAGAAGCAGAAAGAGGUUCCUGAACCUGAGAUCCUGAUUUCCUCAGACCACCAUGCUGCAGGCCUAGAAAAGAGGUACCUGAUCCACAGGACCGAGCUUCAGACACGCAGCUGGCCUGCUGCCACCAUUCUGUGCAGGACAGCACUGGGCUGUGUCCGGACACUCAGGACUCACACCGCCACUGAGGCCACUGCUGCUGUGAUCCUGACAACAGCUUGCUGCAGUCUGACAAGGGAAGGAAGAUGGUGGUGAUGACUGGUGAUUUCCAGCCUCCUGAUGGACUUGCUGUACCGACUUCCAGACCCAGUGAGUCCUGUUUACCUUGAAGCCAGGCCAGAAACACAUACUGAACAUUUGACCGUUUUACUCUUUGGGACACAGAACUCAUUCUGACAGUAUGGUAUUCAAUCUACUGUUGAAAUAUUGGACCUGAGAACUGAGACCUAAACUUUCCCCUCAGGGGAAAAAGGACUCAUUACAGGGAGUGACUAAUAGCACCUCUUCAAAUAUGAGGAGGGUAGCCUAAAGGCUUUUGCUGCUGCUCAGAGACUGGAACAAUUACUUAAAAGCAAGGUUGUGGUUAAACCCAUCAACAAAACCUCUUUUUGACUUUUGAUUAGAAUGGAUUUAAGAGAAUUGUGAUAUGACAAAUUGUGUGCUUAUUGUUAAUUUCCACUCUAGAAUUAUGGUAUUGACCUGGUAAUUUUUAAAUAUUUAUUUAUUUAUUUUGUAUACAAUAUUUUUUCUGCAUGUAUGCCUGAAGGCCAGAAGAGGGCACCAGACCUCAUUACAGAUGGUUGUGAGCCACCAUGUGGUUGCUGGGAAUUAAACUCAGGACCUUUGGAGGAGCAGGCAAUGCUCUUAAGUGCUGAGCCAUCUCUCCAGCCCAUUGACCUGGUAAUGUUUGUAACUAUACUAUAAGAUGUUAAACAAAGUUUGACAUUUCUUAUGAGUACUUGGAUUUAACAUAUUUAAUAAAAAAUUUAGGUUUUAAUACAGCAAAAAAAUUGUUAAGAAGUGCUCUAUACUAACUAAAGAGGACAUUCUCAACCCUGGUGACUCCCUCUCCUUUCAUUAGGAGACUGUAAACAUUAGGAGCAUAAUUAUUCACAGAAACACCAAUCUAAUUACAAAUAAACUCUUGACCAAAAACAAAAUUGGCUCAGAAACACAUAGCCCAAAAGUAUUUUUCUCCCUUAA